AUGAACGCUGGCGGCGUGGAUAAGGCAUGCAAGUCGGACGAUUUCCUUUUUGAAGAAGAUGCGAUUACAUCAAGUCAACUGAUAUUUUGGAGAUAGUGGCGAACGAGCUAGUAACACCUUGGUACGUACCCAAAAGUUUGGUAUAGCUCGCCGAAAGGCGGGGUAAUCCCAAAUAAUCCCCCUAUCUAUCGGAUAGAAGGGUAAAGUCGCAAGACGCUUUUGGAGCGGCCUAGGACCGAUCAGUUAGUUGGUGAGGUAAUGGCUCACCAAGACGAUGACCGGUAGGGG
RNAcentral lists this ribosomal RNA (288 nucleotides) under uncultured bacterium. Its description in RNAcentral is "partial 16S ribosomal RNA". It matches the Rfam family "Bacterial small subunit ribosomal RNA", at positions 29 to 289 of the family's 1533-position model. The record is from RNAcentral.